This is a long non-coding RNA of Cygnus atratus (black swan), 473 nucleotides long. RefSeq lists it as uncharacterized. The transcript is spliced from 2 exons. NCBI's taxonomy places the organism in Eukaryota, Metazoa, Chordata, Aves, Anseriformes, Anatidae. The record is from RefSeq and is a predicted model, not a curated record.
GGCGCCCGCCGCCGCCGCAUCCCGCUUCGGACCCACGCGUGUGCAUGUAUGUACGUGUGUGAGCGUAUGUGAGUGUGAGUGUGUGCUGCGACCGUGCCUGCGUGCGCACCUCCGCGCCCCCCGCGCCCUGCGGCUGCCUCCGGCUCCGUCUCGCAGCGGCAGUGCCGGCUGCCCGCUCCCGCAGGCGGCUGGUGCCGGAUCGACACGCAGCGAAGGGACCGGUCAUUGCAAGAAGGGGGCGUGACUGUUUAAAGAAGUUGAUGCUCCCGGGACUGGACCCUGCUUUAUCACAGAGGCGCUCCGGGAGGCUGAAGCAGGAGAUUUCCGCACCUCGCCGCACCGCUCCGUCCCUCCCCCGGGCUGGGGAGGCCAACCAGGACCGGCAUCACCAGAGGAGUUUGCAGGCUUGAUUUUCCACUUCUCCGAGGUUUUGCUUUUCUCCACGCCCUCCCAUAAAACAAUUUUUAUUUCCA